AUGAAACUGAUUCAAGAAAGUGAAAACUUUUGCAGAGAUGAAAGAAGUGAUUUCUAUUUUCAGAAGCAAGACAUUAAAGCUGCAUACAACAAGAAGCUGGGAUUUCAGGGGUCUAACUCUUUUCAAUACCGAAGCUGCUCCAUUGCAAUUGGAAUAUGGUGACGAUGUUGUAAUUGGCAUCUUUGACACAGGCUUUCCCACCAAGUAUAUGGCCACAGAAUCGGAUAGCUUUCGACCUAACCUACGUUGGGAAAAAUUAUUCCACACGGACGGACACCGCAUGCAAGAUACAUGCGGUAUCAGAUCCUGAGGUUAUUCUUGCUAUAAGUUGUUGCAUUUGGUUCUCUUUGAAGGAUUGGUGCAGGUUCCUGGCCUGUGAAGAUAAUUUUGGUUUUGUCAUUUUAGAAAGUGUGUCUUCACCUUCAGCUUCGCAUCACACCGACUACACUUGAUAACUUGGCUGGGAGUGUUAUUUGGAUGGCGCCUGCCUGUAGUGCUUACUGGUUUUUGCUUUGCUCUCUUCCGGGUUGUAUUUAUUGGCAUAUGUAUACUUUUUAUUUUGGGUUUUUUUUUGUGCUUUGGAGGUAUACUUGUAUCUUUCGUCUUUCAUUCUUGCGUGGAGUUGUGCUAAAGGAUGUGGAACCCUUAGGGGUAUGUUUCCAGUAUUUAGUCUUUUUAGAUUUGGGGAUCCACCCACCUCCCCAUUUUUUGUAACCCCUUCUUAAUUAAUAGAAUCAGAGCAACAAUACUCC
Molecule: long non-coding RNA, 752 nt
Organism: Phalaenopsis equestris
Lineage: Eukaryota; Viridiplantae; Streptophyta; Magnoliopsida; Asparagales; Orchidaceae
Exons: 4
Source: RefSeq, a predicted model, not a curated record